UACGAACGCUGGCGGCGUGCCUAACACAUGCAAGUCGAACGGAGUGAUGAUUUCGGUUAUCACUUAGUGGCGAACGGGUGAGUAACGCGUGAGAAACCUGCCUUUCAGUGGGGGACAACAGUUGGAAACGACUGCUAAUACCGCAUAAGCCCACGGAACCGCAUGGUUCAGAGGGAAAAGGAGCAAUUCGCUUUGGGAUGGACUCGCGUCCGAUUAGCUGGUUGGUGAGGUAACGGCCCACCAAGGCAACGAUCGGUAGCCGGACUGAGAGGUUGAACGGCCACAUUGGGACUGAGACACGGCCCAG
RNAcentral lists this ribosomal RNA (307 nucleotides) under uncultured bacterium. Its description in RNAcentral is "bacterial SSU rRNA". It matches the Rfam family "Bacterial small subunit ribosomal RNA", at positions 29 to 334 of the family's 1533-position model. The record is from RNAcentral.